This 497-nucleotide ribosomal RNA is filed under the name uncultured bacterium. RNAcentral describes it as "partial 16S ribosomal RNA". It matches the Rfam family "Bacterial small subunit ribosomal RNA", at positions 28 to 507 of the family's 1533-position model. The record is from RNAcentral.
GAUGAACGCUGGCGACGUGCCUAAUACAUGCAAGUAGAACGCUGAAGCUUGGUGCUUGCACCGAGCGGAUGAGUUGCGAACGGGUGAGUAACGCGUAGGUAACCUGCCUCUUAGCGGGGGAUAACUAUUGGAAACGAUAGCUAAUACCGCAUAAAAGUCGAUAUCGCAUGAUAUUGAUUUGAAAGGUGCAAUUGCAUCACUAAGAGAUGGACCUGCGUUGUAUUAGCUAGUUGGUGAGGUAACGGCUCACCAAGGCGACGAUACAUAGCCGACCUGAGAGGGUGAUCGGCCACACUGGGACUGAGACACGGCCCAGACUCCUACGGGAGGCAGCAGUAGGGAAUCUUCGGCAAUGGGGGCAACCCUGACCGAGCAACGCCGCGUGAGUGAAGAAGGUUUUCGGAUCGUAAAGCUCUGUUGUAAGAGAAGAACGAGUGUGAGAGUGGAAAGUUCACACUGUGACGGUAACUUACCAGAAAGGGACGGCUAACUACGUG